ACGGGGAGGAGCCCAGAGCCUGAAUCAGUGUGUGUGUUAGUGGAAGCGUCUGGAAAGGCGCGCGAUACAGGGUGACAGCCCCGUACACAAAAAUGCACAUGCUGUGAGCUCGAUGAGUAGGGCGGGACACGUGGUAUCCUGUCUGAAUAUGGGGGGACCAUCCUCCAAGGCUAAAUACUCCUGACUGACCGAUAGUGAACCAGUACCGUGAGGGAAAGGCGAAAAGAACCCCGGCGAGGGGAGUGAAAAAGAACCUGAAACCGUGUACGUACAAGCAGUGGGAGCACGCUUAGGCGUGUGACUGCGUACCUUUUGUAUAAUGGGUCAGCGACUUAUAUUCUGUAGCAAGGUUAACCGAAUAGGGGAGCCGAAGGGAAACCGAGUCUUAACUGGGCGUUAAGUUGCAGGGUAUAGACCCGAAACCCGGUGAUCUAGCCAUGGGCAGGUUGAAGGUUGGGUAACACUAACUGGAGGACCGAACCGACUAAUGUUGAAAAAUUAGCGGAUGACUUGUGGCUGGGGGUGAAAGGCCAAUCAAACCGGGAGAUAGCUGGUUCUCCCCGAAAGCUAUUUAGGUAGCGCCUCGUGAAUUCAUCUCCGGGGGUAGAGCACUGUUUCGGCAAGGGGGUCAUCCCGACUUACCAACCCGAUGCAAACUGCGAAUACCGGAGAAUGUUAUCACGGGAGACACACGGCGGGUGCUAACGUCCGUCGUGAAGAGGGAAACAACCCAGACCGCCAGCUAAGGUCCCAAAGUCAUGGUUAAGUGGGAAACGAUGUGGGAAGGCCCAGACAGCCAGGAUGUUGGCUUAGAAGCAGCCAUCAUUUAAAGAAAGCGUAAUAGCUCACUGGUCGAGUCGGCCUGCGCGGAAGAUGUAACGGGGCUAAACCAUG
This 894-nucleotide ribosomal RNA is filed under the name Escherichia coli. Its description in RNAcentral is "partial 23S ribosomal RNA". It matches the Rfam family "Bacterial large subunit ribosomal RNA", at positions 292 to 1191 of the family's 2925-position model. Lineage: Bacteria; Pseudomonadati; Pseudomonadota; Gammaproteobacteria; Enterobacterales; Enterobacteriaceae. The record is from RNAcentral.